AGUGAACGCUGGCGGUAGGCCUAACACAUGCAAGUCGAACGGCAGCACAGUAAGAGCUUGCUCUUACGGGUGGCGAGUGGCGGACGGGUGAGGUAUACAUCGGAAUCUACUUUUUCGUGGGGGAUAACGUAGGGAAACUUACGCUAAUACCGCAUACGACCUACGGGUGAAAGCAGGGGAUCUUCUGACCUUGCGCGAUUGAAUGAGCCGAUGUCGGAUUAGCUCGUUGGCGGGGCAAAGGCCCACCUAGGCGACGAUCCGUAGCUGGUCUGAGAGGAUGGUCAGCCACACUGGAACUGAGACAGGGUCCAGACUCCUACAGGAGGCCGCAGUGCAGAAUAUUAGACGAUGGGCGAAUGCCUGAUCCAGCCAUACCGCGUGGAUGAAGAAGGCCUUCGGCUUGUUAAGCCCUGUUGUUGGGAGAGAAAAACAGCACGUUUAUACCCCGCUGUUCUGACGGUACCCAAAGAAUAAGCACCGGCUAACUUCGUG
Molecule: ribosomal RNA, 492 nt
Filed under: uncultured bacterium
Lineage: Bacteria
Description: partial 16S ribosomal RNA
Rfam family: Bacterial small subunit ribosomal RNA
Source: RNAcentral